RNAcentral lists this ribosomal RNA (468 nucleotides) under uncultured bacterium. RNAcentral's name for it is "partial 16S ribosomal RNA". It matches the Rfam family "Bacterial small subunit ribosomal RNA", at positions 28 to 507 of the family's 1533-position model. The record is from RNAcentral.
GACGAACGCUGGCGGCGUGCUUAACACAUGCAAGUCGAACGGAAAGGCCCUGCUCUUGUGGGGUGCUCGAGUGGCGAACGGGUGAGUAACACGUGAGUAACCUGCCCUUGACUUUGGGAUAACUUCAGGAAACUGGGGCUAAUACCGGAUAGGAUCUCUUGCUGCAUGGUGGGGGUUGGAAAGUUUCGGCGGUUGGGGAUGGACUCGCGGCUUAUGAGCUGGUUGGUGGGGUAGGGGCUUACCAAGGCUUUGACGGGUAGCCGGCCUGAGAGGGUGACCGGCGACAUUGGGACUGAGAGACGGCGCAGAAUCGUACGGGAGGCAGCAGUGGGGAAUAUUGCACAAUGGGCGGAAGCCUGAUGCAGCAGCGCCGCGUGCGUGAUGACGGGCUUCGGGUUGUAAACAGAUGUCGCCUGUGACGAAGCGUGAGUGACGGUAAUGGGUAAAGAAGCACCGGCUAACUACGUG